GACGAACGCUGGCGGCGUGCCUAAUACAUGCAAGUAGAACGCUGAAGAAAGGAGCUUGCUUCUUUUGGAUGAGUUGCGAACGGGUGAGUAACGCGUAGGUAACCUGCCUUGUAGCGGGGGAUAACUAUUGGAAACGAUAGCUAAUACCGCAUAACAGCUUUUGACACAUGUUAGAAGCUUGAAAGAUGCAAUUGCAUCACUACGAGAUGGACCUGCGUUGUAUUAGCUAGUAGGUAGGGUAACGGCCUACCUAGGCGACGAUACAUAGCCGACCUGAGAGGGUGGAUCGGCCACACUGGGACUGAGACACGGCCCAGACUCCUACGGGAGGCAGCAGUAGGGAAUCUUCGGCAAUGGGGGGCAACCCCGUGACCGGAGCAACGCCGCGUGAGUGAAGAAGGUUUUCGGAUCGUAAAGCUCUGUUGUAAGAGAAGAACGUGUGUGAGAGUGGAAAGUUC
Molecule: ribosomal RNA, 458 nt
Filed under: uncultured bacterium
Lineage: Bacteria
Description: bacterial SSU rRNA
Rfam family: Bacterial small subunit ribosomal RNA
Source: RNAcentral